RNAcentral lists this small RNA (467 nucleotides) under Histoplasma ohiense. RNAcentral describes it as "hypothetical lncRNA". Lineage: Eukaryota; Fungi; Ascomycota; Eurotiomycetes; Onygenales; Ajellomycetaceae. The record is from RNAcentral.
CCCCUCCUGCACCCGCUCGUUCCUGGCUGUUGUGACCUUGUGUAACCCUCGAUGUUCUUCCACUCCAUGCUCCGCGCUCACAUAGUUUCUAACAAUUCUUCCGUGUAGCUCUUAAUGUUCUUUCACUCCAUGCUCCACACUCACAUAGUCUCUAAUGAUUCUUCUGUGUAGCUCCUUACAUUCCCCCGCUCUGUGUUCCGCACUCACAUAGUCUCUAACAAUUCUUCCAUGUAGCUCUCAAUGAUUCCCCCACUCCAUGUUCUGCACUCACAUAACUUCUAACAAUUCUUAUGCAUACUCCUUAAUAUUCUUCUGCUUCACACUCCACUGUGGAGCAGCUUCUGAUAUUCUUCCACCCUGAACUUUCCCCUAUAAGAACCCCCUUCAUACAACCUUUUCUUCUGAUUUUCUUUCUCUUUCUUUCCUUAAUCAAUUUGUAAUCUGUAAUUAGAAUAGUAUCAAAUCAU